This 164-nucleotide small nuclear RNA is filed under the name Zea mays. RNAcentral's name for it is "U2 spliceosomal RNA". It matches the Rfam family "U2 spliceosomal RNA". From Rfam's summary of the family: U2 is a small nuclear RNA (snRNA) component of the spliceosome (involved in pre-mRNA splicing). Lineage: Eukaryota; Viridiplantae; Streptophyta; Magnoliopsida; Poales; Poaceae. The record is from Rfam by way of RNAcentral.
AACCUUUCUUUGCAUUUUGGCUAAGGUAAGGUGUAUAUUUGUUCUUAUCAGUUUAAUAUCUGAUAUGUGCACUAUAUGUUCGCUUUGAUAUUAAAUUUAUUUUUAUGGAUAUCAAAUAUGUUUGUGUGUCGUUGCAACACACUUAUUUAAAAGGGUGACCCCAA